CCUUACACGAUGUACGAUCCAUUAGGUUCCUUUUAGCGAGGCAGUGGGCGAUUAAAACUCUUUUAAAUCGAUUAUGAAUUGAAACUUACUUUCAAUUCUCCUUUUAAUGUUUAUACACGUUUAGGGCUUCCACAAACCAAGAGUGACACCUAGCAGCAUAUCAUGGUUACCCAAGCUAAUCAGAAUAGGUAGAGAACCUAUUCAGUUAGGAUUACAAAUGCAAUACGGUCUUUCUCUAAUACAAUACUCUUGACCACAUUGUUUGGUUUGAUA
RNAcentral lists this long non-coding RNA (273 nucleotides) under Malus domestica (apple). RNAcentral describes it as "long non-coding RNA (MDOM_LNC004488)". Lineage: Eukaryota; Viridiplantae; Streptophyta; Magnoliopsida; Rosales; Rosaceae. The record is from RNAcentral.